RNAcentral lists this ribosomal RNA (247 nucleotides) under uncultured bacterium. RNAcentral describes it as "partial 16S ribosomal RNA". It matches the Rfam family "Bacterial small subunit ribosomal RNA", at positions 523 to 769 of the family's 1533-position model. The record is from RNAcentral.
AUACGUAGGUGGCAAGCGUUGUCCGGAUUUACUGGGUGUAAAGGGUGCGCAGGCGGGACUGCAAGUUGGAUGUGAAAUACCGGAGCUCAACUCCGGGGCUGCAUCCAAAACUGUAGUUCUUGAGUGAAGUAGAGGUAGGCGGAAUUCCGAGUGUAGCGGUAAAAUGCGUAGAUAUUCGGAGGAACACCAGUGGCGAAGGCGGCCUACUGGGCUUUAACUGACGCUGAGGCACGAAAGCGUGGGGAGC